CAGUCGAGGGGCAGCGCAGUGUAGCAAUACAUGGGCGGCGACCGGCAAACGGGUGCGGAACACGUACGCAACCUUCCUUCAAGCGGGGCAUAGCUUUCGGAAACGAAAAUUAAUACCCCAUAGUAAUGUCUGGGGGCAUCUGAGGACAUUUAAAGAUUUAUCACUUGAAGAUGGGCGUGCGCCUGAUUAGGUAGUUGGCGGGGUAACGGCCCACCAAGCCUACGAUCAGUAACUGGUGUGAGAGCACGACCAGUCACACGGGCACUGAGACACGGGCCCGACUCCUACGGGAGGCAGCAGUAAGGAAUAUUGGUCAAUGGACGCAAGUCUGAACCAGCCAUGCCGCGUGGAGGAUGAAGGUCCUCUGGAUUGUAAACUUCUUUUAUCGGAGAAGAAACCCCUGAAUUCUUUUAGGGUUGACGGUACCCGAUGAAUAAGCACCGGCUAACUCCGUGCCAGCAGCCGCGGUAAUACGGAGGGUGCAAGCGUUAUCCGGAUUCACUGGGUUUAAAGGGAGCGUAGGUGGGCUGGUAAGUCAGUGGUGAAAUCUCCGGGCUUAACUCGGAAACUGCCGUUGAUACUAUCGGUCUUGAAUGUUGUGGAGGUAAGCGGAAUAUGUCAUGUAGCGGUGAAAUGCUUAGAUAUGACAUAGAACACCGAUAGCGAAGGCAGCUUGCUACACAAUUAUUGACACUGAGGCUCGAAAGCGUGGGGAUCAAACAGGAUUAGAUACCCUGGUAGUCCACGCCCUAAACGAUGGAUACUCGACAUAUGCGAUACACUGUAUGUGUCUGAGCGAAAGCAUUAAGUAUCCCACCUGGGAAGUACGACCGCAAGGUUGAAACUCAAAGGAAUUGG
This 858-nucleotide ribosomal RNA is filed under the name uncultured bacterium. Its description in RNAcentral is "bacterial SSU rRNA". It matches the Rfam family "Bacterial small subunit ribosomal RNA", at positions 59 to 913 of the family's 1533-position model. The record is from RNAcentral.